Long non-coding RNA from Microtus oregoni (creeping vole), 1787 nucleotides. RefSeq lists it as uncharacterized. NCBI's taxonomy places the organism in Eukaryota, Metazoa, Chordata, Mammalia, Rodentia, Cricetidae. The transcript is spliced from 3 exons. The record is from RefSeq and is a predicted model, not a curated record.
CUGAAAGAUACUGGAGAAAAAACUACGGCGAAUAUUGUUCUCAAACAAAUGACGGGAAGCCACUGUCAUUUUGAUUUAUUAUUAUUAUUAUUAUUAUUACCAGUGUAUUCAUUGGCUGGUGUGCGCCCAUGAGGGCAAAGCAAAGCCAGGUGAGUAUCCUCAGACUUGGGAGACCCGAGGGAAACAAAGCUUCAGCUCCGCACAUCAUGACAGAAGAACGGAAGAUGCUGAAGAGAUGUGUAGCUGCUAGAGUUCAGGGCUAGAUUCUCCUCCCAGCGAAGCCUCGUCCUUGCGCUUUGAUGGCAGCUGCUCAGAGAGAAGGCCUGCAUAGUCAAACGCCUGUCAGCUGACCAGUGAAGAUUCUGAGCGGCAGGUUAGCUAAAUGAUGCCGAUGGUUUCUCUGCCUCCGAUACCACAACUGAGGGCUUGAGGAAAUGCUGCAUAAAGGACGGGUUUGUAAAUUCCUAUUUGAGAGACCACAAUGUAAAAUUAGAACUAGGGCAUUUAUUUUUAUCACACUUAGUAAUAAAGGGUAAAUUUUUAAAAGUGUAGGCUGGAUACGUGCCAUACAUUAUUGGAACUUUCGCAGCUGUGGAAUCUCCUUUGUCAUCAUUGUACAGAGAGAAAAACCAUGCUUUGGAGAAUGGGAGUUUCAGGGGAUCCAGCGCCCUCUUCCGGUCUCCACAGGCGUCUGCAAGCUCACAACCUUCUGCAACUCCAGUUUCAGGGGAUCCAGCGCCCUCUUCCGGUCUCCACAGGCGUCUGCAUGCACACACACUAAAAUAGAAAAGAAAAAGCAAAUUACUCCCUCACAGCGCUGGAGGAUAGGAACGCUAAGAACCCUGGUAUUGGCCGAUGCAGUGUCUGGUGAGAGGCAGUUCACAGAUGGUAAAAGGUUUUCAAGCAUAAAGGAAGAGAUGGGAAGAAUGCGGAGGGAAGUCACCCACUGGAUGCCUGCCACCAGAGAAUCCGAAGUUCUGGUUUGACGUGUUGACAGCCCGAUGGUGUCUGCGGAUUGUCUAGAUGUAACAGGGACUGUACCAUGCUGCUGUAAACACUUUUUUGUGGGUAAAAAAUGAACUAUUGAGAGAGAGCUCUGUGGGAAUUCUGUGGCAUUAAGGCAUUGGUGACAGUUGUAGCUGUUGUUGGAAGUGAGCUUCACAUGUCUCUGACUCCUCACUAAGGAUUAUGAAUGCAAGCUUAGCCCGAUUUAGCCAGGGUGAGGAACUCCAUUUUCUGAGCCCUGUUUCAUAGUAUAACACACCUUGGAGCUAAUUUCUAAACUGACAAUUUUAAGUUCCUUUUGCUGGAGAUUUGGUGACCUGCUAUAUUUAUAACUCUCUCAGACUCCAUUUCUGCUCAGAAGGACUAGAUCAUACACCUAUAAUUCCAGCUGCUCAGGGGGCUGAGGCAGGAGGAUCACAAGGUUAAGGCCAACCUAGUCAACAAAGAGACUGUCUCAAAAUGAAGUAGAAAAGGAUUGGGGACCAGGAAUAGUUGUGGUCCCAGGUGAGAAGAGGAGGCAGGGGGAUUACACCAGCCUGGUCCACACAGCAAGAAGAAAAGGGAGAAGAAGAAGAAGAAGGCAAAAGAGGAGAGGAGAGAAGGGGGUGAUGUUAGGUAGGGUGCGUGAGUAACAAGCUUGAGGCCCUUCAUCCAGUUCUCUAUACCAAGGAACAACACCAAGGCUAGCCUUUGGCUUACUUACACACACACACACACACCACACACAUACCACACACACACAUGCCACAUACACACCACACACACAUGCCACACACAUACAA